AAGUGCUUGAAGGCAGUAUGCUUGGUAAAAGUCAUCGCCAUUCUCUAAUCUUGAGUACCCAGGGACACGAUACACUGCGGAAGGCUGCAGGGACCUCUGCCCAGGAAAGCCAGAACAAGCCCUGUGAAAAACAAGCUGCUGUCCCUGCUAGAGGCAUCCUGCAAUCCAUGGAUGUUUAUCACCAAGCCAUUGUUAACAUGAGGUGGUUUCCAAAAGGAAAAGCUUUGGGAGAUAGAAGUCCUCGUUUUGACCUCUGCCCUCCUUGUACACCAGGAGCCAGAAAAACUUCAUCUCUUUUACAAGAAACAUUGAGAUUCCUGUAAAAUUAAGAAAUCACACAAUUUGAUGGUCUACAUUAUCUAAAGCAAAUGAGACUUCUAUUUGGAACAAAGACUACCUUGUUGGGAAAUGAGUCUGCAAGUUAAAGUGUUUUCUGGGUAAUGAAACAUUGUCCUUCACAGGAGCUAAAAAGAAAACUACAACUCAACAUAGACAAGCAAAGUUCACAGGAAAUCUGACCCUGUGACAAUAAUUUUAAGGAACAAGAAGGCAUGAGUCACAAUCCAAAAUAGCAAGAAUAAAGCAUAGGAUUCUGCUUAUGCCAAAAUAUUCCUCUGUGAUUUAAACAGAGGCAGGGACUUUGUUUCAACCAUAGUGGAUAUGGGAGGGAGAACGUCUACUGUAAGUUGGGAUGUCUACAGAAGAAAUGGAUAUCCAAGACACAAAUAACUAUUUUUAAACAAGUACAUAAAAGACAGGGAUGUGUCUAUUAAAUAAAUUCUUAUCAUUUUCUACCCUUAGAAAAGUUUUACUUAAUCAAUAAUUUAUGCUAAUGUGGAAUUAUUCUUAGAAAAUUAAAAUUCAACCUUAUGAAAUAAUCCACUGAAAUCUUCCAAGUUAAGAUUACACGUAAUACAAAAACAUUCUUACUAACUACAAUUACAGAAGGAAAAUGGAGUCAUUUUACCAGCUCUUCGAGCUAUAAAAAGUACAUUUGAUAGAUUCUCCCUGCCCUGUAUUAUUUUCAAUCAUCACAAUGGCUACUAUUUUUCAGAGGCUUGUCAUUUGCUGAGAACUGAGUUAAGACCUUUACAUUAUUUCAUUUAAUUCCUAUAAUAACCCUAAGAGGAAUAUACUAUCAUUAUUUUCAUUUUACACAAAAGGGAACUACGGAUUAGAGAGGUUAAAAUCUUGCACAACAUCACUCAACUAGUAUGUGGAGGAAUCAAGACUCAAAAUAUGAUUAACCAAUGUUAUUGACUGAAAGGAUUAUUCCCUCAUUGUUCUUUCUACGUAGACCCAAACAUCUAAGUUCCACAAUGGCUGGAAUCAGGGUAGACAAAAGUACAAUGACAAAAGACACUGUAUUACUGAGUUCUGAAAAUAAAGAUUCAAGGCCCUUCUAAAAGUGACAUCUUAAUAAACUGCUCCAAGAAUUGGCUUUUCUUGGGGACAUGCAAAGAGCUCACUUUUUGGCACUGUGAUUUACAGAUAAGUAGCCUCAUUGUCAGGCUGUGGCAGCCAUCACAAUGAGUCAAAAACACAGGCUCAAAAAUGUAUACUUCUCCAAAAACAGAGUCAGAAUUCACACUCACGGUAAAAAAUUAUAAACAUCCUGCACCACCCAGUGACCCUGAGCCAACUUGGUGAUCAAAGGUGAUUCUGAAUUUAGUAGGAACCAAGAAGUAAACUCUAUUAAAUACUAUAAUUUCCUUAGUCCAUCUGUUACAUGCAAAUACUAAUAGUUUCCAGGUUGAUUGUUGAAAACCAAAAUGAAAAUUUGAAGAAGUAGAGGCAAGGGACAUAUAAUGAAUGUGUCUUCAUCAUAAAGAUCUUCAAUUCAGCCUGAUCUAUGACAAUGAUCAUAGAUCAUUAUAUUGAGAUAUAAUUCACAUACCAUAAAUUCACCCAUUUAAAGAGUACAAUUCAAUGGUUGUUAGCAUAUUCUCAGAGCUGCACAUCCAUUACCACAAUCAAUUGUUGAAAUUUUCACCACUCCAAAAAGAAACCCCAUACCCUUUAGCAGUCACCUCCCAUUCUCCACAUGCCUUCAGCCCUAGGCAAGCCCUAGGCAGUCUGCAUUCCAUCUAUAUAGAUUUGCCUAUUCUGGAUAUUUUAUAUAAAUGGAAUCAUAUAUGUAGUAUUUUGUGGCAGGCUUCUUUUACUUAGCACAGUGUUUUCAAAGUUCACCUAUGUGUUGCAGCAGGUAUCACUAUUUCAUUUAUUUUUAUAGCUGAAUAACAUUCUAUUGUAUGGAUAUGCCAGAUUUUGUUUGUCCACUCAUAGGUGAUGAACAUUUCAGUUGUUUCCACCUUUUGGCUAUUAGGAAUAAUGCUGUAAUAAACUUUUUGUGUACAA
This 2358-nucleotide long non-coding RNA is filed under the name Homo sapiens (human). RNAcentral's name for it is "HIF1A stabilizing long noncoding RNA". The record is from RNAcentral. Lineage: Eukaryota; Metazoa; Chordata; Mammalia; Primates; Hominidae.